UACGAGGGGGGCAAGCGUUGUUCGGAAUUACUGGGCGUAAAGGGCUCGUAGGCGGCCAACUAAGUCAGACGUGAAAUCCCUCGGCUUAACCGGGGAACUGCGUCUGAUACUGGAUGGCUUGAGUUCGGGAGAGGGAUGUGGAAUUCCAGGUGUAGCGGUGAAAUGCGUAGAUAUCUGGAGGAACACCGGUGGCGAAGGCGGCAUCCUGGACCGACACUGACGCUGAUGAGCGAAAGCCAGGGGAGCAAACGGG
RNAcentral lists this ribosomal RNA (253 nucleotides) under uncultured bacterium. RNAcentral's name for it is "partial 16S ribosomal RNA". It matches the Rfam family "Bacterial small subunit ribosomal RNA", at positions 524 to 776 of the family's 1533-position model. The record is from RNAcentral.